This 422-nucleotide ribosomal RNA is filed under the name Verrucomicrobiota bacterium. Its description in RNAcentral is "Verrucomicrobia bacterium partial 16S ribosomal RNA". It matches the Rfam family "Bacterial small subunit ribosomal RNA", at positions 355 to 776 of the family's 1533-position model. The record is from RNAcentral. Lineage: Bacteria; Pseudomonadati; Verrucomicrobiota.
UGGGGAAUUUUGCACAAUGGGCGCAAGCCUGAUGCAGCGACGCCGCGUGAGGGAUGAAGGCCUUCGGGUUGUAAACCUUUUUCGCUCAUGGUCAAGCCGCAGCUUUGGGUUGUGGUGAGGGUAGUGGGUAAAGAAGCGCCGGCUAACUACGUGCCAGCAGCCGCGGUAAUACGUAGGGCGCGAGCGUUGUCCGGAUUCAUUGGGCGUAAAGCGCUCGUAGGCGGUCUGUUAGGUCGGCAAGUUAAAUCCGGGGGCUCAACCCCCGUCCGCUUCCGAUACCGGCAGACUUGAGUUUGGUAGGGGAAGGUGGAAUUCCUAGUGUAGCGGUGGAAUGCGCAGAUAUUAGGAAGAACACCGGUGGCGAAGGCGGCCUUCUGGGCCAUAACUGACGCUGAGGAGCGAAAGCUAGGGGAGCGAACAGG